UACAGAGGUCCCAAGCGUUGUUCGGAUUCACUGGGCGUAAAGGGUGCGCAGGUGGCCAAGUGUGUGAGGCGUGAAAGCCCGGGGCUUAACCCCGGAAUUGCACCUCAAACUACAUGGCUAGAGCAUUGGAGAGGGGAGCAGAACUCACGGUGUAGCAGUGAAAUGCGUAGAUAUCGUGAGGAAUACCAGAGGCGAAGGCGGCUCCCUGGACAAUUGCUGACACUCAGGCACGAAAGCGUGGGGAGCAAAAGGG
This 253-nucleotide ribosomal RNA is filed under the name uncultured bacterium. RNAcentral's name for it is "partial 16S ribosomal RNA". It matches the Rfam family "Bacterial small subunit ribosomal RNA", at positions 524 to 776 of the family's 1533-position model. The record is from RNAcentral.